Molecule: long non-coding RNA, 500 nt
Filed under: Panax ginseng (ginseng)
Lineage: Eukaryota; Viridiplantae; Streptophyta; Magnoliopsida; Apiales; Araliaceae
Description: long non-coding RNA (PGIN_LNC014615)
Source: RNAcentral
AACGUUCAAGUCCUCAAAAACCUGGGAGUAGACCCUAUGUCCAUGGAGGGACCAAAAUAGCUCAGUGGGAACUUUUAGAGUUCUCUUUUUCUACUUCUUAUAGUCUGAGCUUACAGAGAAUUGGAGCCUUCUUGGAAGUUACCAUGGAGGGACCAAAAUAGCUGAACUUUUGAACAUACCAUUCUGGAAUUCUACUAAAGUUAGGCUCCUUUCUGUAGUCAUGGUAAUAUCUUAUUGCAUGUUGAUAUAACCACGGAGGAAUGUUCUUUGCUUUUUUUUUGCAUUUGUUUGAAAAGGUAAAUGUCCUUUUUAUCAUGCUAGGUUCUUGAAAUUUAAUUACCUUUGGUCUUUAGAAAGUGAUUCCCACUCUUCUCCACUUCCAUUGUCGGAGUUUAUAUAUUUUAUUAUGAACUUGCAUGUUACUGCUAUCAAAAAUGAACAAAAGCACUUUGAUGGGAACUGCUUUUUGAGUUUAUGCUUUGUGUGUAGGCAAACUGAAU